Long non-coding RNA from Pezoporus occidentalis (night parrot), 761 nucleotides. RefSeq lists it as uncharacterized. The record is from RefSeq and is a predicted model, not a curated record. NCBI's taxonomy places the organism in Eukaryota, Metazoa, Chordata, Aves, Psittaciformes, Psittacidae. The transcript has 6 exons.
CCUCUUUGAGCCUGAUUUCUCUCUGAUUUCAGUUAUAGAAUUUGUACACUUCCACUUUGGUUCAACAGCUCUUCCUGCUAUGGGCAGCUCCUCUUCAAGGUGUAGGGAUUUUUGUGGAGCAAUUUCUGAAUUCUAUUAAGGUAACAAGCAAAUCUCCUUUGGUGCUCUGGAUCUGCACUGUGGGAAGUAAAGGUGAUUUCUUGCACCAAGUGUCUGCUCCACGUGCUUUCUGACUGCAGCCUCUCCUUUAUCUGCAAGUCUCCCUGCCUUCUCCUUCUACACGUUGAGACCAGCUGCCUCAGAGUUUCUGCCCCACCUGAGCUUUGCUGCAGUGUAUGCUAGACCUCUUGUCUUAAGCAUUUGGCUUUCAUCUUCUGUGGAAGGGGACUUUUGAGUAAAGUUUCACUUGUCCUUAGCGUGAUGUCUCCAUGAAGUGAAUUCAUUCUGGUGACAGCUUCUUGUCAUCAGCCUGAGAUUCAUAUGGCCCAUAGAGAAUCAUUCUCAUGACCAAAGAACAGUCACAAGUGUGUCUUGUAGAGGGUGGAAGUACGCAAAGAAUCAUCUCUCUCCCAGAAAGAAAGAAGUACCUGCAGCAACAAAGGAGUUUUCUGGAGCUGAGUGUAAGUUCUUUACUACUGGUUGCAAAAUCAACAUCCAAGGGAAGGAAUACACAAUUCUGGCUGCUCAGUUAAGGUUGCUUUAUUGUAUCUGCAUGAAUGUUGAACUUCUUUUGGAAAGAAUAAAUGCAUUAUUUAAACAUA